This 72-nucleotide transfer RNA is filed under the name Felis catus (domestic cat). It matches the Rfam family "tRNA". Rfam says of the family: Transfer RNA (tRNA) molecules are approximately 80 nucleotides in length. Lineage: Eukaryota; Metazoa; Chordata; Mammalia; Carnivora; Felidae. The record is from Rfam by way of RNAcentral.
ACCUGGCUGGCUCACUGGAAGAGCAUGAGACUCUUGAUCUUGGGGUCAUGAGUUCAAGUCUCAUGUUGGGUG